RNAcentral lists this ribosomal RNA (1058 nucleotides) under uncultured Cryobacterium sp. RNAcentral's name for it is "bacterial SSU rRNA". It matches the Rfam family "Bacterial small subunit ribosomal RNA", at positions 337 to 1393 of the family's 1533-position model. Lineage: Bacteria; Bacillati; Actinomycetota; Actinomycetes; Micrococcales; Microbacteriaceae. The record is from RNAcentral.
UCCUACGGGAGGCAGCAGUGGGGAAUAUUGCACAAUGGGCGCAAGCCUGAUGCAGCAACGCCGCGUGAGGGACGAAGGCCUUCGGGUUGUAAACCUCUUUUAGUAGGGAAGAAGCGACUGGGUUUUCCUGGGAGUGACGGUACCUGCAGAAAAAGCACCGGCUAACUACGUGCCAGCAGCCGCGGUAAUACGUAGGGUGCAAGCGUUGUCCGGAAUUAUUGGCCGUAAAGAGCUCGUAGGCGGUUUGUCGCGUCUGCUGUGAAAACCCGAGGCUCAACCUCGGGCCUGCAGUGGGUACGGGCAGACUAGAGUGCGGUAGGGGAGAUUGGAAUUCCUGGUGUAGCGGUGGAAUGCGCAGAUAUCAGGAGGAACACCAAUGGCGAAGGCAGAUCUCUGGGCCGUAACUGACGCUGAGGAGCGAAAGCAUGGGGAGCGAACAGGAUUAGAUACCCUGGUAGUCCAUGCCGUAAACGUUGGGAACUAGGUGUGGGGACCAUUCCACGGUCUCCGUGUCGCAGCUAACGCAUUAAGUUCCCCGCCUGGGGAGUACGGCCGCAAGGCUAAAACUCAAAGGAAUUGACGGGGGCCCGCACAAGCGGCGGAGCAUGCGGAUUAAUUCGAUGCAACGCGAAGAACCUUACCAAGGCUUGACAUAUACCGGAAACGGCUGGAAACAGUCGCCCCGCAAGGUCGGUAUACAGGUGGUGCAUGGUUGUUGUCAGCUCGUGUCGUGAGAUGUUGGGUUAAGUCCCGCAACGAGCGCAACCCUCGUCCUAUGUUGCCAGCACGUAAUGGUGGGAACUCAUGGGAUACUGCCGGGGUCAACUCGGAGGAAGGUGGGGAUGACGUCAAAUCAUCAUGCCCCUUAUGUCUUGGGCUUCACGCAUGCUACAAUGGCCGGUACAAAGGGCCGCGAUACCGCAAGGUGGAGCGAAUCCCAAAAAGCCGGUCCCAGUUCGGAUUGAGGUCUGCAACUCGACCUCAUGAAGUCGGAGUCGCUAGUAAUCGCAGAUCAGCAACGCUGCGGUGAAUACGUUCCCGGGCCUUGUACACACCGC